AGAAGCCAGAGAGAAGUGUAAUCAAUCACAAGAAUUCAGAAACGCCCAAAAGUAAACAAAUUUCUUCUGCUUCAACAUUACCCAAUUUCUACUAUCAUGUAACUUACAAAACCAAAAGUUGCAAGUCCAACAACAAAAAACACAAACGGCAGCUCCAAGGAAAUAGACUAAAUCAAAGUAAUAAAUCUACUACACCAACUAAAUCAAAAAGCAACGAAACUAUAUGAGACAUAAGCACUCUGUGGCAACCAAAAAGAACAAUAUCGACACACUCACAUUUGUUUGCAGAACACACGCUCAAAAUCAACCGCAACGGAAAAUCACAUCAAGAGAGACCCAAAGACGCAGCAGCACAAAUUCAACAGAACAAAUAUAUUCAUUCUCACCAAAUUUUCGG
Molecule: long non-coding RNA, 397 nt
Filed under: Trifolium pratense (red clover)
Lineage: Eukaryota; Viridiplantae; Streptophyta; Magnoliopsida; Fabales; Fabaceae
Description: long non-coding RNA (TPRA_LNC008698)
Source: RNAcentral